This 253-nucleotide ribosomal RNA is filed under the name uncultured bacterium. RNAcentral describes it as "partial 16S ribosomal RNA". It matches the Rfam family "Bacterial small subunit ribosomal RNA", at positions 524 to 776 of the family's 1533-position model. The record is from RNAcentral.
UACAGAGGGUGCAAGCGUUAUUCGGAAUUACUGGGCGUAAAGAGCGCGUAGGCGGCUCGAUAAGUCUGAUGUGAAAUCCCUGGACUCAAUUCAGGAAGUGCAUUGGAUACUGUCGAGCUAGAGUGAAGGAGAGGAAAGCGGAAUUCCCGGUGUAGAGGUGAAAUUCGUAGAUAUCGGGAGGAACAACAGAGGCGAAGGCGGCUUUCUGGACUUUAACUGACGCUGAGGCGCGAAAGCGUGGGGAGCAAACAGG